GACGAACGCUGGCGGCGUGCUUAACACAUGCAAGUCGAACGGAAAGGCCCUGCUUUUGUGGGGUGCUCGAGUGGCGAACGGGUGAGUAACACGUGAGUAACCUGCCCUUGACUUUGGGAUAACUUCAGGAAACUGGGGCUAAUACCGGAUAGGAGCUCCUGCUGCAUGGUGGGGGUUGGAAAGUUUCGGCGGUUGGGGAUGGACUCGCGGCUUAUCAGCUUGUUGGUGGGGUAGUGGCUUACCAAGGCUUUGACGGGUAGCCGGCCUGAGAGGGUGACCGGCCACAUUGGGACUGAGAUACGGCCCAGACUCCAACGGGAGGCAGCAGUGGGGAAUAUUGCACAAUGGGCGGAAGCCUGAUGCAGCAACGCCGCGUGCGGGAUGACGGCCUUCGGGUGGUAAACCGCUUUCGCCUGUGACGAAGCGUGAGUGACGGUAAUGGGUAAAGAAGCACCGGCUAACUACGUG
RNAcentral lists this ribosomal RNA (468 nucleotides) under uncultured bacterium. Its description in RNAcentral is "partial 16S ribosomal RNA". It matches the Rfam family "Bacterial small subunit ribosomal RNA", at positions 28 to 507 of the family's 1533-position model. The record is from RNAcentral.